GACGAACGCUGGCGGCGUGCUUAACACAUGCAAGUCGAGGGCACUUCGGGGGCAACCCUGGAGUGACCGGCGAACGGGUGCGUAACACGUGAGCGACCUUUCCUCGUGGUGGGGGAUAGCCGGCCCAACGGCCGGGUAAUACCACAUAGGGUGCUGACUCCGCAUGGAGACGGCAGCAAAGCCCUGGAGCAAUCCAGUGGCGCCACGAGGGGGGGCUCGCGGCCUAUCAGCAGGUUGGGGGGGUAAUGGCCCACCAAGGCGACGACGGGUAGCUGGUCUGAGAGGAUGGCCAGCCACAUUGGGACUGA
Molecule: ribosomal RNA, 308 nt
Filed under: uncultured bacterium
Lineage: Bacteria
Description: partial 16S ribosomal RNA
Rfam family: Bacterial small subunit ribosomal RNA
Source: RNAcentral